GCACUGGUGGUGUAAGGCGAACAUCGCCGCCUGGAAAGCAGAAGAUGCGGGUUCGAGUCCCGCCUAGCGCA
Molecule: non-coding RNA, 71 nt
Organism: Heligmosomoides polygyrus
Lineage: Eukaryota; Metazoa; Nematoda; Chromadorea; Rhabditida; Heligmosomidae
Source: Rfam